AAUGCCACACUCCGGGAACAAUAUUCAGCUCUAUAUAAUAUUGUUCGUCGUAAGGGUGAUACUAUCGCCACGGUUCUGGAAUCCUUUCCUUCGAAUGUGACGUUCAGACGAGAUUUAAUAGGCCCCAGACUUGCAUUGCGGAACAAUUUGAUAAAUCGCCUCGCCAGGGUACAUUUAUCACAAGGCCAUGAUGCAUUUCAGUGGAAUCUAAAUGCUAGUGGUAAAUCCUCGGUAGAUCAAAUGUAUAGAGCGUUGGUCUAG
Molecule: ribosomal RNA, 261 nt
Filed under: Triticum aestivum (bread wheat)
Lineage: Eukaryota; Viridiplantae; Streptophyta; Magnoliopsida; Poales; Poaceae
Description: partial small subunit ribosomal RNA
Source: RNAcentral